CUAUAGCUCAGUUGGUUAGAGCGCUGGUUUGUGGUUCCAGAGGUCGCCGGUUCGAUUCCGGUUAG
This 65-nucleotide transfer RNA is filed under the name marine eukaryotic metagenome. It matches the Rfam family "tRNA", at positions 5 to 66 of the family's 71-position model. From Rfam's summary of the family: Transfer RNA (tRNA) molecules are approximately 80 nucleotides in length. Their secondary structure includes four short double-helical elements and three loops (D, anti-codon, and T loops). The record is from RNAcentral.